UCCGAAGUAGCUCAGCUGGUGGCAGCGCGUGACUGUUAAUCAUGAGGUCGUCGGUUCAAGUCCGACCUUCGGAGCCA
Molecule: transfer RNA, 77 nt
Filed under: Clostridiales bacterium
Lineage: Bacteria; Bacillati; Bacillota; Clostridia; Eubacteriales
Description: tRNA-Asn
Rfam family: tRNA
About the family: Transfer RNA (tRNA) molecules are approximately 80 nucleotides in length.
Source: RNAcentral